Molecule: ribosomal RNA, 1655 nt
Filed under: human gut metagenome
Description: bacterial LSU rRNA
Rfam family: Bacterial large subunit ribosomal RNA
Source: RNAcentral
GAAAGGCCAAUCAAACCGGGAGAUAGCUGGUUCUCCCCGAAAUCUAUUUAGGUAGAGCCUUGAGCGGACACCUUCGGGGGUAGAGCACUGUUUCGGCUAGGGGUCCAUCCCGGAUUACCAACCCGAUGCAAACUACGAAUACCGAAGAGUGAUACUCAGGAGACACACGGCGGGUGCUAACGUCCGUCGUGGAGAGGGAAACAACCCAGACCGCCAGCUAAGGUCCCAAAGUCUAUAUUAAGUGGGAAACGAAGUGGGAAGGCUUAGACAGCUAGGAUGUUGGCUUAGAAGCAGCCAUCAUUUAAAGAAAGCGUAAUAGCUCACUAGUCGAGUCGGCCUGCGCGGAAGAUGUAACGGGGCUCAAAUAUAGCACCGAAGCUGCGGCAUCAGACGAAAGUCUGUUGGGUAGGGGAGCGUUCUGUAAGCGGAUGAAGGUAGCUCGAGAGGGCUGCUGGACGUAUCAGAAGUGCGAAUGCUGACAUAAGUAACGAUAAAACGGGUGAAAAACCCGUUCGCCGGAAGACCAAGGGUUCCUGUCCAACGUUAAUCGGGGCAGGGUGAGUCGGCCCCUAAGGCGAGGCUGAAAAGCGUAGUCGAUGGGAAACGGGUUAAUAUUCCCGUACUUGGAUAAACUGCGAUGUGGGGACGGAGCAGGUUAGGUUAUCGCACUGUUGGAUAUGUGCGUUUAAGUUGGUAGGUGUGAAGUUUAGGCAAAUCCGGACUUCUAUAACACCGAGAGAUGAUGACGAGGCUCUACGGAGCUGAAGUAACCGAUACCACACUUCCAGGAAAAGCCACUAAGCUUCAGGUUUAUCUAAACCGUACUGAAAACCGACACAGGUGGUCAGGUAGAGAAUACUCAGGCGCUUGAGAGAACUCGGGUGAAGGAACUAGGCAAAAUAGCACCGUAACUUCGGGAGAAGGUGCGCCGGCGUAGAUUGUAGUCCCUCGCGGGCGAAGGUUGAACCGGUCGAAGAUACCAGCUGGCUGCAACUGUUUAUUAAAAACACAGCACUCUGCAAACACGAAAGUGGACGUAUAGGGUGUGAUGCCUGCCCGGUGCUGGAAGGUUAAUUGAUGGUGUAAUCGAAAGAGAAGCUCCUGAUCGAAGCCCCAGUAAACGGCGGCCGUAACUAUAACGGUCCUAAGGUAGCGAAAUUCCUUGUCGGGUAAGUUCCGACCUGCACGAAUGGCAUAAUGAUGGCCAGGCUGUCUCCACCCGAGACUCAGUGAAAUUGAAAUCGCCGUGAAGAUGCGGUGUACCCGCGGCUAGACGGAAAGACCCCGUGAACCUUUACUAUAGCUUGACACUGAACAUUGAAUUUUGAUGUGUAGGAUAGGUGGGAGACUAUGAAGUAGUCACGCCAGUGAUUAUGGAGUCGUCCUUGAAAUACCACCCUUUAACGUUUGAUGUUCUAACGAAGAUUACGAAACGUGGUCUCGGACAGUGUCUGGUGGGUAGUUUGACUGGGGCGGUCUCCUCCCAAAGAGUAACGGAGGAGCACGAAGGUUUGCUAAUGACGGUCGGACAUCGUCAGGUUAGUGCAAUGGUAUAAGCAAGCUUAACUGCGAGACAGACAAGUCGAGCAGGUACGAAAGUAGGUCAUAGUGAUCCGGUGGUUCUGAAUGGAAGGGCCAUCGCUCAACGGAUAAAA